This 253-nucleotide ribosomal RNA is filed under the name uncultured bacterium. Its description in RNAcentral is "partial 16S ribosomal RNA". It matches the Rfam family "Bacterial small subunit ribosomal RNA", at positions 524 to 776 of the family's 1533-position model. The record is from RNAcentral.
GACGUAGGGGGCGAGCGUUGUCCGGAUUUAUUGGGCGUAAAGCGUGCGUAGGCGGCUGCGCAAGUCGGGUGUGAAACCCCGGGGCUCAACCCCGGAACUGCAUCCGAUACUGCGUGGCUAGAGGUAGGUAGGGGAGAUCGGAAUUCCUGGUGUAGCGGUGAAAUGCGCAGAUAUCAGGAGGAACACCGGUGGCGAAGGCGGAUCUCUGGGCCUUACCUGACGCUCAUGCACGAAAGCGUGGGGAGCAAACAGG